UUGGAGCAUGAGCUCCUGCUGCUCACUCUCUCUCUCUGAAUGAAGAUUGAGUGUUACCCCAGACUGCACCAACCUCUGCUUUCACAGGAGGAUUUACCUGCAUCUCUUGAACUAAUUGCCUCAGCCAGCUUGAUUCAUUGGGACUGGAAUUUUAUCGAUCUUUUGAGUGGAGAAGGAGGAUUGUCCCGCCUGCUUCCAGAGAUCUGACUGGUAAAGCACUGAGAUGCCGCUGUUCGAGGGUGGAGUGAGCUUUACCGGAGCGGAGAGUUAGCCAGCCGGCCCCCCGCAGCAGAGUGGGACGUCAGAGGGAGCGUCGAACCUGGAGGGAGGCCGCGCCGUGGGGAAACCGUGGAAGUGUGGGGAAUGCGGGAAGGGGUUUCGAGUCCCCUCUGAGCUGGAGAUCCACCGGCGCGGUCACACCGGGGAGAGGCCGUUCUCCUGCCCCGAGUCCGGCAAGGCCUUCAUUGGGUCCUCCAAGCUGCUGAGGCACCGGCGGGUCCACACCGGGGACAGGCCGUACCCCUGCCCCGAGUGUGGCAAGGCCCUUCACCCAGCUGUCCCACCUGCAGACGCACCGGCGCCUCCACACACCAGGGAGAGGCCUCUCACCUGCCCCGGGGGCGGCAAGGCCUUCAAUCGAUCGCCGACCCUGCGGACGCACAAGCGCCUUCCCAACGUGAUCGCACGGAGUUGAAGUCUGCAGCGAAUCCCACCCAGGACUGGGGGGGGAUCGUGCCCCGUGGGGGGAUUGUGCCCCGUUCGAAGACAGUGGGUGAAGCGGGAAGGGAGCGAGGCUUCCUUUCUGCCGGACUGGCCGCUCUCGCUCCCUUUGCUUCCCGUGGGACCGAUGCUGUUUGAGGCUGGGACUGCACGUUCCCCGGGCCAAAGAUCUGCAGGAGCUGAGGAAGUGCACUCCUUUCACACCGGAUGGUAAAUCAUGUUUGUCCCAUCUAUUUCAGUCUUAAAUACCCUCCGUGACCUGGCCUCCCAGCCUCCUGUGGCAGUGAAUUCCCCAGAUUCCCCACUCUCUGUCUGAAGAGGUUUCCCCUUAUCUCCGUUCUAAAAGGUCUAAGGCUGUGCCCUCGGCUCCUGGUCUCUCCUACCAAUGGAAACAUCUUCCCAAUGGCCACAGAUAGAUCAAAGUCAAAUACAAUAGCCUCUAUUCCAUUGAGUGUCCAGCACACUUUAUAGCACUUUGUAAAAUCAGGAGGGCCAUUGAUGAGGUGAGUGGCAGGUGUCUUUUCCCGAUAGAAUAAAGAAUAUUCCAGCACAGGAACAGGCCCUUCGGCCCUCCAAGCCUACACCGAUCCAGAUCCUCUAUCUAAACCUGCUGCCUAUUUUCUCAGGAUCUGUAUCCCUCUGCUCCCUGCCCUUUCAUGUAUCUGUUGAGAUACAUCUUAAAUGACGCCAUUGUUCCCGUCCCUACCAUCUCCGCUGGCAACACAUUCCAGGUACCCAGCACCCUCUGCGUAAAGAACUUUCCAUACAUAUCUUAAAUCUUUCCCCUCUCACUUUGAACUCAUGACCCCAGGUAACUGAGGCCUCCACUCUGGGGGAAAAACAUUUCUUGCUUUCCACCCUGUCUUUACCUCUCAUGAUUUUGUUGGCCUCAAUCUGGUCCCCCCUCAACCUCCGUCUUUCCAAUGAAAAUAAUCCUGAUCUAUUCAAACUCUCUUCAUAGUUAGCAUCCUCCAUACCAGGUAACAUCCUGGUGAACCUCCUGUGCACCCUCUCCAAAGCAUCCACAUCCAUUUGGUAAUGUGGCGACCAGAACUGUACGUGGUAUUCCAAAUCUGGCCGAAACAAAGUCUUGUAUAACUGUAACAUGACCUGCCAACUCUUGUACUCAAUACUCUGUCCGAUGAAGGAAAGUGUGCCAUAUGCUGCCUUGACCACUCUACUGACCUGCAUUGCCAUCUUCAGGGAACAAUGGGCCUGAACACACAGAUCUCUCUCUACAUCAGUUUUCCCCAGGACUUUUCCAUUUACUGUAUAGUUUGCUCUAGAAUUGGAUCUUCCAAAAUGCAUCACCUCACAUUUGUCUGGAUUGAACUCCAUCUGCCAUUUCUCUGCCCAACUCUCCAGUCUAUUCUCCAUUCUGCUGUAUUCUCUGACAGUCCUCUUCACUAUCUGCUACUCCACCAAUCUUAGUGUCAACUGCAAACUUGCUAAUGAGGCAACCUACACCUUCCUCCAAAUCAUUUAGAUAUAUCACAAACAGCAGUGCUCCCAGCACGGAGCCCUGUGGGACACCACUGGUCACCGUCUCAGUUUUGAGAAACUCCCUUCCAAUACUACUCCCUGUCUCCUGUUUCCCAACCAGUUCUCUAUCCAUCUAGCUAGAAUACCCUGGACCCCAUGUGAUUUCACCUUUUCCAUCAGCCUACCAUGGGGAACCUUGUCAAAUGCCCAAGUAAAGUCCAUGUCUAUGACAUCUGCAGCCCUUCCCUCAUCAAUCAAUUGUCAUUUCCUCGUAGAAUUCUAUUAUUUUGCUAAGUCAUGACCUUCCCUGAACAAAACCAUGCUGCCUAUCACUCAUAAGCUCAUUUUCUUCCAAAUGUAAACAGAUCUUAUCCCUCAGUAUCUUCUCCAGCAGCUUCCCUACCACUGACAUCCAGCUCUCAGGUCUGUAAUUACCUGGAUUAUCCCUGCGACCCUUCUGAAACAAGGGGAAAACAUUAUCAAUUCUCCAGUCCUCUGGGACCUCACCUGUGUUCAAGGAAGCUGCAAAGGUAUCUGUUAAGGCCCAAGCUAUUUCCUCUCUUGCUUCCCUCAGUAACCUGGGAUAGAUCCCAUCAGGACCUGGGGACUUUGACCACCUUAAUGCCUUUUUAGAAUACACAUCACUUCCUCCUCCUUAUGCCGACUUGCCCUAGAGUAUUCAAAGAUCUAUCCCUAACGUCAACAUCCACCAUGUCCCUCUCCUCAGUUAAACCUGACACAAAGUACUCAUUAAGAAUCUUGCCCAUUUUCUCUGACUCCACACACAUCUUUCCUCCUUCGUCCUUGAGUGGGCCCACCCUUUCUCUAGUUACCCUCUUGCUCCUUAUAUAUGAAUAAAGGGCUUUGUGGUUGUCCUUAACCUUGCUCGCUAAGGAUAUCUCAUCGCCCCUUUUAACCCUCUUAAUUCCUCAUUUCAGAUUGGUCCUACUUUCCUGAUAUUCUUCCAAAGCUUUCUGUCUUCAGUCGCCUAGACCUUAUGUAUGCUUCCUUUUUCCUCUCAGCAAGUCUCACAAUUUCACCUGUCAUCCAUGGUUCCCUAAUCUUGCCAAUUCCAUCCCUCAUUUUCACAGAGACAUCUCUCUCCUGAACUCGAAUCAAUUCUCUUUAAGAGCCUCCCAAAUAUCGAAUAUGGAUUUUCCUUCAAAAAGCUGCUCCCAAUCCACACUUCCCCAGCGCCUGCUGAAUUUGGGUAUAGUUGGCCUUUCCCCAAUAAGCACUUUUCCUUUCGGACCACUCUCGUCUUUGUCCAUGAGUAUUCUAAACCUUACGGAAUUGUGAUCCCUACCCCCAACGUAAUCCCAUAUAGGGGCCAAGUGAUGGCAAAUGUGACUAGAUUAAUUUAGGAUAUCUGGUCAGCUUGGACAAGUUGGGCCAAAGGGUCUGUUUCCGUGCUGUAUGACUCUAAUUGUCUUUGGUGAAAGCAGAAGUGUGGUUGUGAAGACUGGACUUGCAGAGCAGCUUUUAAAGAUGUUUUGCCCUGACUGGGAGCAGAAGAGUUUCACUGAAGUGUAUUGGUGUUAAUGCCUUGAUGUCUCAAUUUGCUCCCACCUUCCUGGGGGUCGUUAACCAUUUUGUUCCACAAAUAGCUGCAUUGCAGGUUCCCCCAUGAAUUGACACACUUAUAUUUGCUUCCCAGAUUCAGACUGUUGCUCACUGUCAACUGUAUCCCAGUGUUGUGGAGUUAUCCAAAAUGCAGGGAGAUGUUAGUCUUGACGUUUUUGCAUUUCUGCCCCUGUAAGAUCCUGACUCAGCACCUUCAGUUAGAGUGGAGUGAGGACAGAGGGAGAGAGAGGUGGGAUGGUGCUUUCAAUUUUGUGGAAUAACAAAAGAAAAGAAUAUUCCACAGAAAGUAGAAUUCCUUGUUCAGAAUUUCUACCCUGCACUGACAGUGAUGACCUUUUGUAAUCUCUUUUUAUGGAGUAUUUGAAGAUCUGAAGACGGAUUUUUCAAAAUCAACAGAUGAAGGCCGUUUGCCCGAAAUGUUGACUCUCCUGCUCCUCAGAUGCUGCCUGACCUCCUGCGCUUUUCCAGCACUGCACAUUUCAAAUCUGACUCUCCAGCGUCUGCAGUCCUCACUUUGAAAGUCACUCAGUCCAUCAGGACCGCAACUAUGAUUCUGUGAGAAGGAGCAAAGCUUUUUGGUUCCUGUUUCAGUACGUUUUCAGCAUCAGUGGGACUGGAUGAGAGACCCUACCAUUGCAGGGCACUGAGUGUGGAGCCUGAAGCAGUUUUUUGGCCUGGAAAGAGGAAUUCACAGUGGAGAGAGUCUCUACGUGCGUUUGUGUGUGGCUGAAGCUCCGGCCAUGGAGAAACCAGAGGAAUCCCGCCCCGCGGAGAAACUGUGGAAGUGUGGCGACUGCAAAAAAGGCUUCUGUUUCUCAUCUGCCCUGGAGACUCAUCGGCACAGCCACACGGGGGAGAGGCCAUUCCCCUGCCCUGUCUGUGGCCUACCCAGGCCUCCAACCUCCAGACCCACCGGCGGGUCCACACCGGGGAGAGGCCCUUCCGCUGCCCCAAGUGUGGGAUGGCCUUCAGGAAUUCCUCCCACCAGCGGGUCCACACAGGGGAGAGGCCCUUCAGCUGCCCUGAAUGUGGGAAGACCUUCAGCACAUCCUCCACCCUGCGGAGCCACCAGCGGGUCCACACCGUGGAGAAGCCCUUCAGCUGCCCCGAGUGCGAGAAGGCCUUCAGUAAUUCCUCCGCCCUGCUGAGGCACCAGCAGGUCCACAUCGGGAGAGAGGCCCUUCAGCUGCCCUGAGCGCGGGAAGGCCUUCACCAAUUCUGCUAACCUGCUAAGCCAACAGCAGGUCCACACUGGGAAGAGGCUGUUCCCUUGCACAGAGUGUGGGAAAGCCUUCAGGCAUUCUUCUCACUUGCUGACCCACUGGGGGGUCCACACCGGGGAGAGGCCCUUCAGCUGCCCCCGAGUGUGGGAAGGCCUUCAGCCAUUCCACCAACCUGCUGACCCACCAGCGGGUCCACACAGGGGAGAGGCCGUUCCCAUGCCACGUGUGUGGGAAGGCCUUCAGCAUUUCCUCCCACCUGGUGAGGCACAACGGGUCCACACGGGGGAGAGGCCCUUCAGCUGCCCUGAGUGCGGGAAGGCCUUCACCCGCUCCUCCCACCUGCGGAGGCACCAGCGAGUUCAUGUGCCAUCGCAGGGGGAUUGAAGGAAUGAUGGCUGAGUGCCGUUAUCGACUGGACUAUCAACCCGGUUCCGGGGACUCCCAGGUUCGAAUCCCACCGCGACAGAUGGUGGAAUUGGAAUUUGGUCAGAAAUCUGGAGUUUAGAAUCUAACGGUGAAACCAUUGUCGGUGGGGUGGGGGUGGAAGAAGUCCCCGUUCUUUUUUAGGGAAACAAACUGUCGUUGUGGGAGAGGAUUCACUCAGUCGUCCCAGCUGCAUCCUUUACGUGGUCUAGCCUACACAUGACUCCAGACCCACAGCAGUAUGAUCGACUCUGCACUCCCCAUCCAACUAACUUGGAUACAGGAUACGGGUUGAAAAUGCUGAGUGAGGCAAUACUUUCUCUGGGUUAAGGCUGUACCAAGGAUCCAAUUCCAAAGGGACAACUUGGUGACCAAUAAUGAAGAAAGUGAGGGGUUGGAGGGAGUGUGUGCAAUUUGACUGUGAGCUGUUUUUAAAACAUUGCCACUUUUUCUACGCCUUUCUGCUGGGAGAUUCUGAAGCUGUAACAAAGUUGGGUCGCAAUAAAGUUUACCUGAACUUCCCACCGAGCUCAGACUCUCAUUGAGAGCUUGGAAUUGCAACAUGUUUUUGUUUUAAAACUGCUCAUUUCUUACAGGUGAAAGUGAGAACUGCUGAUGCUGGAGAUCAGAGUCAAGAUUAGAGAGGUGCUGGCAAUGCACAGCAGGUCAGGCAGCAUCCAAGGAAGCAGGAAAAUCGACAUUUUUCGGGCAAUGUUGAUUUUGCUCCUCAGAUUGCUGCCUUACCUGUUGUGCUCAUUUCUGACGGUCUCCUGUACCAUGUUUCCAAUGUUGUGUAUCAGUUGCAGUAGUGAAUGAGUAGCCAGUGUUGUUAGAAAUUGUGAAUUUUUCAGGAGUGCAGGUACUGCAUCAUCCCAUUGUCAUUGUACAGUUUCCUGGCAGCACUGGGAAGUGGUGGCUGUGUCCACUGCAAAUGAUGUGGAGGUGCCGGUGUUGGACUGGGAUGGAUAAAGUUAAAAAUCACACAACACCAGAUUAUCUUCCUUCUGGUUUAUUUGGAAGCACUGGCUUUUGGAGUGCUGCUCCUUCAUCAGGUAGCUGUGGAGCAGAAUCAUAAGACACAGAAUUUAUAGCAAAAGCUGAUGGUGUCAUGCGACUGCUAAGAUAUUGAAUAAAUCUAGAUUGCGGAUUAGUCUUUCAUCUUUUACCAUGGGUUGCAGGUUUCAGUUCAUUAAUAUGUGAACCCCAGAACUACUUUGAAUUCACCUUCGAGAUGGUUUAAGGUUUUAUAAAAAUAGGUGGCAUCUCAGCUUAGAUCCUGCACAAAAGGUGUGAGGUUCGAGUCUGUAUCCCAAUCUUGAAUCAGAUUGGUUCUAUUAACUAAAGUGGGAAUUUAUACAAUAUUACAUGGAUUAUAAAAUA
This is a long non-coding RNA of Hemiscyllium ocellatum (epaulette shark), 6812 nucleotides long. RefSeq lists it as uncharacterized. NCBI's taxonomy places the organism in Eukaryota, Metazoa, Chordata, Chondrichthyes, Orectolobiformes, Hemiscylliidae. The record is from RefSeq and is a predicted model, not a curated record. The transcript has 2 exons.